This 497-nucleotide ribosomal RNA is filed under the name uncultured bacterium. RNAcentral describes it as "partial 16S ribosomal RNA". It matches the Rfam family "Bacterial small subunit ribosomal RNA", at positions 28 to 507 of the family's 1533-position model. The record is from RNAcentral.
GAUGAACGCUGGCGGCGUGCCUAAUACAUGCAAGUCGAGCGAACGGACGAGAAGCUUGCUUCUCUGAUGUUAGCGGCGGACGGGUGAGUAACACGUGGAUAACCUACCUAUAAGACUGGGAUAACUUCGGGAAACCGGAGCUAAUACCGGAUAAUAUUUUGAACCGCAUGGUUCAAAAGUGAAAGACGGUCUUGCUGUCACUUAUAGAUGGAUCCGCGCUGCAUUAGCUAGUUGGUAAGGUAACGGCUUACCAAUGCAACGAUGCAUAGCCGACCUGAGAGGGUGAUCGGACACACUGGAACUGAGACACGGUCCAGACUCCUACGGGAGGCAGCAGUAGGGAAUCUUCCGCAAUGGGCGAAAGCCUGACGGAGCAACGCCGCGUGAGUGAUGAAGGUCUUCGGAUCGUAAAACUCUGUUAUUAGGGAAGAACAUAUGUGUAAGUAACUGUGCACAUCUUGACGGUACCUAAUCAGAAAGCCACGGCUAACUACGUG